Molecule: ribosomal RNA, 253 nt
Filed under: uncultured bacterium
Lineage: Bacteria
Description: partial 16S ribosomal RNA
Rfam family: Bacterial small subunit ribosomal RNA
Source: RNAcentral
UACGGAGGGCGCAAGCGUUGUUCGGAAUUACUGGGCGUAAAGCGCGUGUAGGCGGUCUGGCAAGUCGGUUGUGAAAUCCCCGGGCUCAACCCGGGAACUGCAUCCGAAACUGCCGGGCUAGAGUUUCGGAGAGGAAGGCAGAAUUCCCAAUGUAGGGGUGAAAUCCGUAGAUAUUGGGAGGAAUACCAGUGGCGAAGGCGGCCUUCUGGACGAUGACUGACGCUGAGACGCGAAAGCGUGGGGAGCAAACAGG